RNAcentral lists this ribosomal RNA (119 nucleotides) under Petromyzon marinus (sea lamprey). The record is from RNAcentral. Lineage: Eukaryota; Metazoa; Chordata; Hyperoartia; Petromyzontiformes; Petromyzontidae.
GCCUACGACCAUAUCACCCUGAAUGCGCCCGAUCUCGUCUGAUCUCGAAAGCUAAGCAUGGUCGAGCCUGAUUAGUACUUGGAUGGGAGACUGCCUGGGAAUACCAGGUGUUGUAGGCU